Molecule: ribosomal RNA, 484 nt
Filed under: uncultured bacterium
Lineage: Bacteria
Description: partial 16S ribosomal RNA
Rfam family: Bacterial small subunit ribosomal RNA
Source: RNAcentral
AUUGAACGCUAGCGGGAUGCUUUACACAUGCAAGUCGAACGGCAGCGCGGACUUCGGUCUGGCGGCGAGUGGCGAACGGGUGAGUAAUGUAUCGGAACGUGCCCAGUAGCGGGGGAUAACUACGCGAAAGCGUAGCUAAUACCGCAUACGCCCUACGGGGGAAAGCAGGGGAUCGUAAGACCUUGCACUAUUGGAGCGGCCGAUAUCGGAUUAGCUAGUUGGUGAGGUAACGGCUCACCAAGGCGACGAUCCGUAGCUGGUUUGAGAGGACGACCAGCCACACUGGGACUGAGACACGGCCCAGACUCCUACGGGAGGCAGCAAUGGGGAAUUUUGGACAAUGGGGGCAACCCUGAUCCAGCCAUCCCGCGUGUGCGAUGAAGGCCUUCGGGUUGUAAAGCACUUUUGGCAGGAAAGAAACGUCGCGGGCUAAUACCCCGUGGAACUGACGGUACCUGCAGAAUAAGCACCGGCUAACUACGUG